This 567-nucleotide ribosomal RNA is filed under the name uncultured archaeon. Its description in RNAcentral is "bacterial SSU rRNA". It matches the Rfam family "Archaeal small subunit ribosomal RNA", at positions 312 to 879 of the family's 1478-position model. The record is from RNAcentral.
CGCGAUUCGCCCUUCGGGGUGCACCAGGCGCGAAAACUUUACAAUGCUGGCAACAGCGAUAAGGGGACCUCGAGUGCCAGGAUACAAUCUUGGCUGUCGCGAUGCCUAAAAAGCAUUGCAUAGCAAGGGCCGGGCAAGACCGGUGCCAGCCGCCGCGGUAACACCGGCGGCUCGAGUGGUAACCGCUAUUAUUGGGUCUAAAGGGUCUGUAGCCGGCCGGAUAAGUCUUUUGGGAAAUCCAGCUGCUCAACAGUUGGGCUUUCAGAAGAUACUGUUCGGCUCGAGACCGGGAGAGGUGAGAGGUACUUCAGGGGUAGGGGUGAAAUCUUGUAAUCCUUGAAGGACCACCAGUGGCGAAGGCGUCUCACCAGAACGGAUCUGACGGCAAGGGACGAAAGCUAGGGGCACGAACCGGAUUAGAUACCCGGGUAGUCCUAGCCGUAAACGAUACUCGCUAGGUGUCAGCCACGGUGCGACCGUGGUUGGUGCCGUAGGGAAGCCGUGAAGCGAGCCACCUGGGAAGUACGGCCGCAAGGCUGAAACUUAAAGGAAUUGGCGGGGGAGCAC